This 214-nucleotide ribosomal RNA is filed under the name Psettodes belcheri (spottail spiny turbot). RNAcentral describes it as "partial 28S ribosomal RNA". The record is from RNAcentral. Lineage: Eukaryota; Metazoa; Chordata; Actinopteri; Pleuronectiformes; Psettodidae.
GUAGCGCCACGGAUCUUCGGUUGGCCCCGGAUAGCCGGCUUCGGUCGGUGAGUAGAGCCGUUCGUGACAGGGCUGGGGUGCGGCCGGAUGGUGGUCGCCCCUCUCCUAUCUCGCACCGCAUGUUUGUGGAGAACUUGGUGCUAAAUCACUUGCAGACGACCUGAUUCUGGGUCAGGGUUUCGUACGUAGCAGAGCAGCUCCCUCGCUGCGAUCU